GUGUAAAAUUGGACUGUAGCAAGACCGCAGCUUAGGUUAGGUUAUGUUACUCGAGCGUUGGAGUAACUGUGAGAAUUUCUUAUCUUUUAUAAAAGAAAAUUAAUUUAUUCUAUUUAUUGUGAACUGUAUUCAGAUAAACGCACGUGCGUAUUAUAGUUGCAAUUUGGCAAACGACUAGCUUGCAGAUAUGGACGACAAACUUCGACAAAUGGAAGAUGAGAUGAACAGAUUUGAAGCUGAAAUUGGAGGACAGCUUGUAACACCAAUUGUAAGACCAGUAAUCGGUGCAAAUACAUACAACCAGGUUGCUAGGCAAUUAGAGCAACAUGAACUUCCUACCCCAGUAGUUGCAGCAGCUGCGGCAGCGACACUAGCGUUUCCUCCGAUGAUUGGCUUUGCACCACCACCGCCACCUCCUCCUCCUCCUCCACCACCACCAAUGCUGAUUCCUCAGCAAGUAGCUCGACAAGGUACAGUUCCUAUCACAACAUAUUCGUCGCCCGCACAAAUAAGCAAUCCAUAUAUGUCAAAUAUGGUGGAUCCAUGUUUAAGUGCAACACCAAAAACAUACGAUUCUUCAUCAGCGCCAAUGAUUCAUCCAGAAAUUAUCGAACAGAUUAUCAACACAAAAAUUCCUGAAGACGAAGGUAAAAAAAAACCAAAAGUUAAGGGUGUCAGCACAGCGGCUGAACUAGCUAUUAGUCAAGGAAAAGCAAGUUCCAUUAUGGCUAACGCUAGUGCAGAGGAGAGUCAUCCCAAAGGUAAAGGAAAGAAAAAUAAGAAGAUUAUAAGAACAGCCGGUGGACAAACGUGGGAAGAUCCUUCAUUGUUAGAAUGGGACGAAGAUGAUUUCAGAAUAUUUUGCGGAGAUCUUGGAAACGAUGUCACUGACGAAAUGUUAGUAAGAGUAUUUGGAAAAUAUCCCAGUUUUCAAAAAGCGAAGGUGGUCAGAGACAAACGUACAAAUAAAACCAAAGGUUUUGGAUUUGUAUCCUUUAAGGAUCCACAAGAUUUCAUCAAGGCAAUGAAGGAAAUGAAUGGUCGAUACGUGGGAUCGCGUCCUAUAAAACUUCGAAAGAGUUCCUGGAAACAAAGAAAUCUAGAGACAGUGCGCAAGAAAGAAAAGGAGAAGCAAACGUUGAUCGGCUUGCUUACUGGUCGAUGAUGAAAUUCUCAUCGUUAUAAUCCUGUUCAUCAACAAAAUUACAAAUUAACAAUUGUUUUGAUAAUGUGAGAAGAGAGAAACGUACCAGACGAAUCGUUGUGAAUCAUAGUGAUGAUAUUCAAUUUCAUCACCGAUUAUUUCGCAAGAAUUAACACCAAUAAACAUUACACGUGAUGUUUCCGUGCCGAA
RNAcentral lists this unclassified non-coding RNA (1354 nucleotides) under Pogonomyrmex barbatus (red harvester ant). RNAcentral's name for it is "rNA-binding protein 42, transcript variant X3". Lineage: Eukaryota; Metazoa; Arthropoda; Insecta; Hymenoptera; Formicidae. The record is from RNAcentral.